Molecule: long non-coding RNA, 818 nt
Organism: Salvia splendens (bonfire salvia)
Lineage: Eukaryota; Viridiplantae; Streptophyta; Magnoliopsida; Lamiales; Lamiaceae
Exons: 2
Source: RefSeq, a predicted model, not a curated record
UUGAGAUCCCCAAUUUGAGAGAAAACUCAAAUUCCCGUCGCCUCCCUCAAUCUCUCCCCAAAUUCGGACUCAAUUCUCCUCCAACACCGAUGUCCGGCGGCUGGGAAACCACUCCCAUCAAGUCGUCGUCGACCGCCUAUUCAUACUCUCCCCCAUCUUUUCUAAUUCCCACAACUUAAGAAAUCCCCCAAAUCGGAGGUCACUGCUGCUCGGUUUAUCUCUCCAGCCACCGCCACCAUUCCUCCUCCGUUUCUCUCUCUCUCUCACGGCCCAAUCGGAACCACCGCUGCGUAACCGGAUACGAGGAGGCGCCUGCAGCCACCGUCCUCCGUCGCACCGUAGGCAUCGUUGCCGUCGGCUCUCCCCGCAUCAACGGCGUUACCGUCUCCGUCCGUUAUCCACUCAUCCAACCAGCAGCCGGCGAUGUGGUGCGGUGUCUCAGCCGUCCGACUUCUCGAGGUGCUGUCACUGACCGCACCUCACUGCACCAGUCGUUGGCUAGCCGCCGUUCGCACAACUCCGCACGUAUCCGGACAGCCUCGAAACAUCCCCAAACGACUCUGAUACAAACCCGAACCAACCCGAUUCACCCCGAUUAAAUCUGCAAGUGUAACGUCUGGAGUUCAGCAGAAAACAGGAGACGGAAACAUGGAGUUAGGCGUGGGAGUAUGUUGAAGAAAGGAAUUGGCUAAAAUAGGGGUGUACAUUCGGUUUUCAUUUCGGUUUUUUGUCUAAACCGAACUGAAAAACUGAAAUAUUUUGAAAAUUGAAAUCGAAUCGAAACCGGAUAACCGAUACCGAAAAAACCAAAAACCAAA